Molecule: ribosomal RNA, 497 nt
Filed under: uncultured bacterium
Lineage: Bacteria
Description: partial 16S ribosomal RNA
Rfam family: Bacterial small subunit ribosomal RNA
Source: RNAcentral
GAUGAACGCUGGCGGCGUGCCUAAUACAUGCAAGUCGGGCGAACGGACGAGAAGCUUGCUUCUCUGAUGUUAGCGGCGGACGGGUGAGUAACACGUGGAUAACCUACCUAUAAGACUGGGAUAACUUCGGGAAACCGUAGCUAAUACCGGAUAAUAUUUUGAACCGCAUGGUUCAAAAGUGAAAGACGGUCUUGCUGUCACUUAUAUAUGGAUCCGCGCUGCAUUAGCUAGUUGGUAAGGUAACGGCUUACCAAGGCAACGAUGCAUAGCCGACCUGAGAGGGUGAUCGGCCACACGGGAACUGAGACACGGUCCAGACUCCUACGGGAGGCAGCAGUAGGGAAUCUUCCGCAAUGGGCGAAAGCCUGACGGAGCAACGCCGCGUGAGUGAUGAAGGUCUUCGGAUCGUAAAACUCUGUUAUUAGGGAAGAACAUAUGUGUAAGUAACUGUGCACAUCUUGACGGUACCUAAUCAGAAAGCCACGGCUAACUACGUG